Molecule: ribosomal RNA, 119 nt
Filed under: Morus notabilis
Lineage: Eukaryota; Viridiplantae; Streptophyta; Magnoliopsida; Rosales; Moraceae
Source: RNAcentral
UAGUGUAAUCAUAUUAAUAGUAGCGCAUCGGAUCCCAUUAGAACUCCACAAUUAAGAGUGUUAGAGCGACAGUAAUACUAGAAUAGGCGACAUCUUAAGAAAUCCUCAUAUUGCACCUC